This 497-nucleotide ribosomal RNA is filed under the name uncultured bacterium. RNAcentral describes it as "partial 16S ribosomal RNA". It matches the Rfam family "Bacterial small subunit ribosomal RNA", at positions 28 to 507 of the family's 1533-position model. The record is from RNAcentral.
GAUGAACGCUGGCGGCGUGCCUAAUACAUGCAAGUCGAGCGAACGGACGAGAAUCUUGCUUUUCUGAUGUUAGCGGCGGACGGGUGAGGAACACGUGGAUAACCUACAUAUAAGACUGGGAUAACUUCGGGAAACCGGAGCUAAUACCGGAUAAUCUUUUGAAACGCAUGGUUAAACAGUGAAAGACGAGCUUGCUGUCACUUAUAGAUGGAACCGCGCUGCAUUAGCUAGUUGGUAAGGUAACGGCUUACCAAGGCAACGAUGCAUAGCCGACCUGAGAGGGUGAUCGGCCACACUGGAACUGAGACACGGUCCAGACUCCUACGGGAGGCAGCAGUAGGGAAUGUUCCGCAAUGGGCGAAAGCCUGACGGAGCAACGCCGCGUGAGUGAUGAAGGUCUUCGGAUCGUAAAACUCUGUUAUUAGGGAAGAACAUAUGUGUAAGUAACUGUGCACAUCUUGACGGUACCUACUCAGAAAGCCACGGCUAACUACGUG